RNAcentral lists this long non-coding RNA (1123 nucleotides) under Sinocyclocheilus anshuiensis. Its description in RNAcentral is "lncRNA (ENSSANG00000021394.1)". Lineage: Eukaryota; Metazoa; Chordata; Actinopteri; Cypriniformes; Cyprinidae. The record is from RNAcentral.
CUUUUUCUCUCUCUUUUUUUCUUUCAUUUUUUUUUACAUUUUUUUAUUUAUAUUUUUUUUAUGUGUUUUAGUUUUAAGAUAUUGGUUUAUUCUUAGUGGUAUAGUUUAAGUGGUUUAUUUUGUGGUGGCGGCGACAACCGGUGUAACCGGGAGUCAUGCCGGUUCGUGGAGUCGGAGGCGUGGGGCUGGAAACGCUCACACGCCGACAUGCGUUCAAACUUUGUCCGACUAUAGACUGUUCUGUGGAAGAAUGUGCUUUGGUAGUCGGGGAGAUUGUUGGUUUUGAUAGCAUUAAAUCCGCAUCUAGAAUGAACAAUGGAGUUGUGAUUUUUGUGGAUAGUUUUGAUAAAGUUGCAACAAUUGUUGAACAAGGUGUAAUAAUCAGAGAGAUCUUUGUUCAAGCGGUGCCGCUCGUCAAUCCGGCAAAAAAGAUAGUUUUGUCGCAAGUCCCUCCAUUCAUUAGUAAUGAAAUGCUAGAGAGGGAACUGGCGAGACAUGGGCAGUUAAUGUCUCCGAUUAGAUCGAUUUCUCUUGGCUGUAAAUCUCCGCAAUUGAGACAUGUUGUUUCUUUUAGAAGGCAAGUCUUUAUGAUUUUAAAGAACAAUAAUGAAGAGUUAAACUUAGUGUUAAAGUUCAGAGUGGAUGAUUAUGACUACAACGUUUAUGUAAGCUCAGAAAAAAUGAAAUGUUUCGGGUGUGGAAUGGAGGGCCACAUCAUAUGUUCCUGCCCAGAAAAAGUCACUACUGAUACUAUUAAUAAGAACAUAGAACAGGGUGAGUCAGGUAGAUCUCAGAGACAAAAGAAAAAAAAAUCAAAUGAAUUUCAGGGACAAAAAUUGGAUAAAACAAACACGGUUCUUGAGCAAAAACAAACUGAACUAAAGGAAUCUCAGGGCCUAAAACAAAGUGAAACAAAUGAAACUCAGGGACAAAAAUUGGAUGAAUUAAAUAAAUCUCUAGGGCAAAAACGGAAUGAACUAAAUGAAUCUCAGGGCCUAAAACAGAGUGAAAUAAAUGAAAAUCAGGGACAAAAAUUGGAUAAAACAAACACGGUUCUUGAGCAAAAACAAUCUGAACUAAAUGAAACUCGGGGCCAAAAAAGUGAAACAAAUGAAACUCGGGG